This 1435-nucleotide ribosomal RNA is filed under the name uncultured organism. RNAcentral's name for it is "SSU rRNA". It matches the Rfam family "Bacterial small subunit ribosomal RNA". The record is from RNAcentral.
ACGCUAGCUACAGGCUUAACACAUGCAAGUCGAGGGGCAGCAUGGUCUUAGCUUGCUAAGGCCGAUGGCGACCGGCGCACGGGUGAGUAACACGUAUCCAACCUGCCGUCUACUCUUGGACAGCCUUCUGAAAGGAAGAUUAAUACAAGAUGGCAUCAUGAGUCCACAUGUUCACAUGAUUAAAGGUAUUCCGGUAGACGAUGGGGAUGCGUUCCAUUAGAUAGUAGGCGGGGUAACGGCCCACCUAGUCUUCGAUGGAUAGGGGUUCUGAGAGGAAGGUCCCCCACAUUGGAACUGAGACACGGUCCAAACUCCUACGGGAGGCAGCAGUGAGGAAUAUUGGUCAAUGGGCGAGAGCCUGAACCAGCCAAGUAGCGUGAAGGAUGACUGCCCUAUGGGUUGUAAACUUCUUUUAUAAAGGAAUAAAGUCGGGUAUGCAUACCCGUUUGCAUGUACUUUAUGAAUAAGGAUCGGCUAACUCCGUGCCAGCAGCCGCGGUAAUACGGAGGAUCCGAGCGUUAUCCGGAUUUAUUGGGUUUAAAGGGAGCGUAGAUGGAUGUUUAAGUCAGUUGUGAAAGUUUGCGGCUCAACCGUAAAAUUGCAGUUGAUACUGGAUAUCUUGAGUGCAGUUGAGGCAGGCGGAAUUCGUGGUGUAGCGGUGAAAUGCUUAGAUAUCACGAAGAACUCCGAUUGCGAAGGCAGCCUGCUAAGCUGCAACUGACAUUGAGGCUCGAAAGUGUGGGUAUCAAACAGGAUUAGAUACCCUGGUAGUCCACACGGUAAACGAUGAAUACUCGCUGUUUGCGAUAUACUGCAAGCGGCCAAGCGAAAGCGUUAAGUAUUCCACCUGGGGAGUACGCCGGCAACGGUGAAACUCAAAGGAAUUGACGGGGGCCCGCACAAGCGGAGGAACAUGUGGUUUAAUUCGAUGAUACGCGAGGAACCUUACCCGGGCUUAAAUUGCAGAUGAAUUACGGUGAAAGCCGUAAGCCGCAAGGCAUCUGUGAAGGUGCUGCAUGGUUGUCGUCAGCUCGUGCCGUGAGGUGUCGGCUUAAGUGCCAUAACGAGCGCAACCCUUGUUGUCAGUUACUAACAGGUUCUGCUGAGGACUCUGACAAGACUGCCAUCGUAAGAUGUGAGGAAGGUGGGGAUGACGUCAAAUCAGCACGGCCCUUACGUCCGGGGCUACACACGUGUUACAAUGGGGGGUACAGAGGGCCGCUACCACGCGAGUGGAUGCCAAUCCCAAAAACCUCUCUCAGUUCGGACUGGAGUCUGCAACCCGACUCCACGAAGCUGGAUUCGCUAGUAAUCGCGCAUCAGCCACGGCGCGGUGAAUACGUUCCCGGGCCUUGUACACACCGCCCGUCAAGCCAUGGGAGCCGGGGGUACCUGAAGUGCGUAACCGCGAGGAGCGCCCUAGGGUAAAACUGGA